UGUAUCCAUCACAACCUCACUGGGAGCCGAGGGCAUGAAGAAGGCUAAAUGAAGGAUGCCAAGCUCAGCAGCCGAUAAAACAUUUGCUAGGUCACUUUGAUCAUCUUAAGAGUUGUUGGUGGGGGCGGGGUGUGCACCCUGAAGAGAAGGAAGCCAGAGUACCCAGAGAGAAUCCAUGCAGUCACUGGGAGACCAUGCACACCCCACAGCCAGCCUUUGCUUUUGGUAUUUUACAUCUUUUUUUUCUCAUUCUUACUUUUCUUCUUUGGACAUGUUUGUUAUGAAUCUCCUAUUCCUGUUCCUCCAUCUUUUCUGAGACGUCCUUUAUGACUUGUGCAGUGCAAAUGAACCUGACUUUCUGAAUGUUUUAUAUAAAAGAAAUAAUAAGUAAAGAGUGGAUCGUUUCCCUUCCACUCCACAACUAUCCAGGACUUUGCCUGAAUCUAUCAAAUAAAACCUCAUGAAAAUACGGCUUUUAGUUGUAAUGUGAGAAAAUGCGAAAGACAUCAAGGGUUAUGAAGACGUACGCAAGGCAGUGCGGGAAAGAGUUUCCAUACAUAAACGGUGGAUACGCAGACACAUGUCUCCAAAGCAAACAUGAUGCUUUUGUUUCUUUAUCUGGGGAGAUUUAAUCCUGGCUUAACCAAACUGCUUGGAAAGUAUUUUGUGCUGAAAAGCCAUUAAACAGCCACUAAAGCCACAGAAAUGUCAUUUCUAUAUUUCUUUUGUCUGCGGAUUACAUUGACAAGGCUCAACCUGUCAGUAAGCUUUAGAGAAUCUCGCUUCCUUAUUUAAUUGAGGAGAAACUUAAACUUUACCUCCCCAUGGCCAAGGGUGACCUUUGCGGCUAAGAACCUAUCGCAUUUCAUAUCCAUUUUCUAAAAUCACAUAUCGACGGGGCCGAAAGUGCCGGGUGGGCCCCAUUAGGCUCACGUGUCCCACGAUCUAACCCUCAGCAUGAAGUAUUUAAUAUGUUUUUCUUUCUGUGUGCGUUCCACUUUUACAGGCCGUCAGUAAGUCAGGAGAGGACACCUGCAUGGCUCCCGCUGUUUACGACCAGAAAGAAGUCAGAAGAUCACAUGUGCCAGCAUCAAGUGCUGCUUCGCAGCGAUAGAACAGAAAACUGUUUCCUUUUUUAUUUAUUUUUUUUUUUUAACUGAAAUGAAUAAAACAGUUUUUAUUCCUUUUUAACAAUAAAUAAAUAAAAAUAUUGACGCUUUUCUAUAGAUGCAGUCUUUUAUCUAUAAUGGACUAAGUCUUUUUUUUUUUUCCAAAAGAUGAUUCAGGCAAAAAAAAAUCUCUCUUGGCAAAAAAAAUGGCGUGGGUUAAUAUUUUAGGAAAGUGACGACAUUAUAAGCUGAAACAAGAAGAAAAGUAGCAGUAAUAUAACAAUGAAUAAAUACAAGAUAAAAGAGGAAAUAAUGAGAAGAGAGAGAUAGAAACAAAAUAAAAUACAUAAAAAGCAAGCAAUAAAAUGCACACAGUCUUCCUUGGUAGUUUUUCCCAGACUGAGAGAGUACAGUGAGUGUAAAAGCGCAGGCCUCUACGUUUAUCAUUCUAUUAAUCAGAAAACUGCUUCAUCAGUUGUUUUUUGGGAAGUGUGAGAGUCUCCUGGUUUGACUGCACAUGUGGACGAAGACAGGAAGUCCCACUUUUAUCUGUCCUCACAGCUAAGGAACCAUGAUCGCCUGUAAACGGUGCUACGGUCCUGCUCUGCCAGAACGCCCACUGUGUCAGGCACAAUGAAACCAUAAUAUUAGCUUUGAAUCACAUGAUAGACUGGCUCUGCUGAAAACCACUGUCUGCAGAUUGACCGCCCUUCCCUCCCUUUCCUGCCUCUUUGGAUUUCUUUUUUUUUUUUUUGUAGCCCCAAAGUAUCCUCUUUAACUUUUAAAAGAGCAUAUUUUGAUGACACCAACCUCAGUGGCUGCUACGCCCCGGAGAAAAAAAAUAAAAAUAAAACAAAUUCUCAAAAUGGGACAGAACUUCUGCUGCCCUACGGCUCUGGUUACUUGGCCUGCAGCGAAGUUGGCAAGGUCUUUCAAGGCUACACCAACAGGAAAUUGCAUUAAUCCAAAGCUGGGCUGAAGUAAUUCACUCCCUGCUCUUUUUUGAAGGCUUUGCCAGAGCUUCGGCGGACCACCUCGGCUGUCCUGUUGGAGAAGAACAGGAGUGUGAGGCCUCAGGGCCUCCCCUCCAUGUGCUUCCUAAUUGGUUUAAUGACUGUAAUUAUCUGCUGGGGUGCAUGUUGUGCAGGGGACGAUUAAUGGCCUCCAAAACAUAUGCAGGCAGGCGGAAACUGAGGGCAGACGGGGGGGGCAAAACAAAGAAUAGCUGUGCAGAAGAAAGAAACCAUAAAAGCGGUAGAGAAAGAGACACGGCCUGCUGUGAGAAAGAGAUUAAAAAAAAAAUUAAACAAGGCUGGGAGUGAUUUUGUUGUUGUUGUUUUCUUUUGUUUUUGUGGAGCAGGUAAGGUGUUCAAAUUCUGCUCUGACUUCAAGAUCUUAUCUGGGGGCAUUAACACUGAAGCCGAAGCACGGUUCCAAAGUAAAUAAAAUCUUUUGGGUCUUUUUUUUUUUUUUUUUAACUCUCAAAUGUCAUAUUCAAAGGUCCAAAUCUGGACGUUUGGAGAGAAGGUCAAAGGUCAGGAGCCAUUAGAAAAAGUGGUGUUAUGUAUUUUUUUUUAGCCACAUAGCAAAAUCAAAUAACUAUGUUACUUUCCGCUGUAUUAAAAAUGCGCCAUAUAUCAAAAAUGACUUCAACGAAAUUUAUCUUCAUUACUUGAUGCCUUGAAAUUUGGCCUCUGUCUCUUUAAGAAGCUCUUGCUCAUUUCCGACGCGCUGCCCUCAGCUCGUCAUCACAACAAUGCUUCUCAUUAUGCCGUUUACAACCACUCUUAAUAGUGUUGGACUUAGAGGUAGUUCCUAUGUUUAGCUCACAUUUCCACCAGGUGAUUGAUAAUUGCUGCUGCCACUAGUCUGUUGGAAACUGAGUGGGGAAAGUGUGGCACAAGGUGAUUUUACAUUAGCUGCCCCAACCCCUUUAAGUUUCCUCAUAAUUUGCAAGAAGCAAAAAUGGCUCUUAACAUCUACAGCAGUUUGUGUAUUUAUACUGCUCUUUAAUUUGAUUUAAUUUUAGAAGAAAGCUUUAUUUAAAUUUGACCAACUUGGUAACUUUUCAUGCUUGUACAAAGUCUCUGCUCUUACACUGAGGAAUCCAGAAAAUCUGUAAAGCUGAACUUAAACUGCAACAAGACACUGUUAUGUCAAAAGAGCUGAGGCAACAGAUAAAACUACCCAGAGGCAGAAUACACAGCAAGCUACGGUAAACAAACAAACAAAAAAA
Long non-coding RNA from Xiphophorus hellerii (green swordtail), 3345 nucleotides. RefSeq lists it as uncharacterized. The record is from RefSeq and is a predicted model, not a curated record. Lineage: Eukaryota; Metazoa; Chordata; Actinopteri; Cyprinodontiformes; Poeciliidae. The transcript has 3 exons.